AACGAACGCUGGCGGCAGGCUUAACACAUGCAAGUCGAACGCAUCGCAAGAUGAGUGGCAGACGGGUGAGUAACGCGUGGGAACAUUCCUUUCUCUACGGAAUAGCUCUGGGAAACUGGAAUUAAUACCGUAUACGCCCUACGGGGGAAAGAUUUAUCGGGGAAGGAUUGGCCCGCGUUGGAUUAGCUAGUUGAUGGGGUAAAGGCCUACCAAGUCGACGAUCAAUAGCUGGUCUGAGAGGAUGAUCAGCCACAUUGGGACUGAGACACGGCCCAAACUCCUCCGGGAGGCAGCAGUGGGGAAUAUUGGACAAUGGGCGCAAGCCUGAUCCAGCCAUGCCUCGUGAGUGAUGAAGGCCUUAGGGUUGUAAAGCUCUUUCCCCGAUGAAGAUAAUGACGGUAGUCGGAGAAGAAGCCCCGGCUAACUUCGUGCCAGCCGCCGCGGUAA
This 447-nucleotide ribosomal RNA is filed under the name uncultured bacterium. RNAcentral describes it as "partial 16S ribosomal RNA". It matches the Rfam family "Bacterial small subunit ribosomal RNA", at positions 29 to 523 of the family's 1533-position model. The record is from RNAcentral.